AAUUCAGGAUGAGCCAUGAAGUUAUGGAUGGAGGUUCGAGACUCGGGUUUUUCUAACCCUUCAUAGAGAGAGCUACGGAACGCCUUCACGACGCGGAUCUGCAAGGGAAACACAAGGUCAACUCUCCUCCUUUACAUCAGCCUUCUCCAGCUACAACUUCUGCUUGCCUUCUGAAGAGCACUCUGUCUGUCUCCUCCCUACACACUAGUGACCCCAGAGAACUCUGCUGGAAUCCAAGCUGAAGCCUGUGGGGCCAGGCAGACUGAGUGCUGGUACUCUGCGACACUUUGAGCUACCUUUGUCUCUGGAUUCUCUAUGCAGAUUUUGUAGAUUUUUCACUUUAUGAUCUGAUAAGUGGGCCAUUGCACCCUUGAAAAUACUACUACUACUGCUACUACUACUACUACUAAAAGGUAUAGCCUUG
This is a long non-coding RNA of Mesocricetus auratus (golden hamster), 424 nucleotides long. RefSeq lists it as uncharacterized. Lineage: Eukaryota; Metazoa; Chordata; Mammalia; Rodentia; Cricetidae. The transcript is spliced from 2 exons. The record is from RefSeq and is a predicted model, not a curated record.